This 460-nucleotide ribosomal RNA is filed under the name uncultured bacterium. Its description in RNAcentral is "partial 16S ribosomal RNA". It matches the Rfam family "Bacterial small subunit ribosomal RNA", at positions 338 to 795 of the family's 1533-position model. The record is from RNAcentral.
CCUACGGGCGGCAGCAGUGAGGAAUAUUGGUCAAUGGACGGAAGCCUGAACCAGCCAAGUCGCGUGCGGGAUGACGGCCCUAUGGGUCGUAAACUGCUUUUGCACAGGGAUAACACUGUCCACGUGUGGAGGGCUGCAAGUACCGUGCGAAUAAGGGUCGGCUAAUUCCGUGCCAGCAGCCGCGGUAAUACGGAGGGCCCAAGCGUUAUCCGGAUUUAUUGGGGUUAAAGGGAGCGUAGGGGGGCGGUUAAGUCAGAGUGUAAAUGUCCGGGCCUAACCCGGGCACUGCCUUUGAUACUGGACGCCUUGAGUGCACAAGAGGUAGGCGGAAUGUGUGGUGUAGCGGUGAAAUGCAUAGAUAUCACGCGGAACACCGAUUGCGAAGGCAGCCUACCGGUGUGCGACUGACGCUGAGGCUCGAAGGUGUGGGUAUCAAACAGGAUUAGAUACCCUGGUAGUC